RNAcentral lists this transfer RNA (71 nucleotides) under Heterocephalus glaber (naked mole-rat). It matches the Rfam family "tRNA". Rfam says of the family: Transfer RNA (tRNA) molecules are approximately 80 nucleotides in length. Their secondary structure includes four short double-helical elements and three loops (D, anti-codon, and T loops). The record is from Rfam by way of RNAcentral. Lineage: Eukaryota; Metazoa; Chordata; Mammalia; Rodentia; Bathyergidae.
GUGGGUGUAGCUCAGUGGCAGAGCAUUUGCCUAGCAUGUGCAAGGUCCUGGGUUCCAUCCCCAGUACCCCA